UGAAAGAUGGCACCAACUCUAACUUGGACCUUUUGAUGGGAUUCUUAGUAGCAGCUUGACCUGUCAGAGUUGCUCAUCCCAGGUAUAGAAGGCUUUCAAUGCAGUUCUCUUACCUUUGCUAUUAAUUGUGUGUACACUUUAUGUAUUGUCAUACAGUUUUGAUUUGACACUAUUGCAUUAGGAGGAGAAAGGUUCCAAGGUAAUCGAAAUGGCUAAAAUAGGAGAAAUGUUAGAAUUAACUAAUUGAUUUUGUAUGAUGACAUGGGUUAGAUUUGAGAAGCUAAGAAAAGACUCAGUUGUAGCUCUAUCUAAAGAUAAUGAUCUCAAUUAACUUGGAACAAUUUGAUUGUUUGCCUCUUUCACCUGUACUUAGUGGUUCCACCCUGAUAUUUGGAUGUGCACUGCUGGAUUGCUCGAAGCAAUUCAUUGUUGCUGAGCAUGUUGAGAACUAUCACUGCCACUACUGUUGGCAUAAUGCUGCGAUCAAGUAUCUUUCAUUAAUGGAAUGAAAUGAGGUAAUUGU
Arachis ipaensis is the source of this 523-nucleotide non-coding RNA. The record is from RefSeq and is a predicted model, not a curated record. NCBI's taxonomy places the organism in Eukaryota, Viridiplantae, Streptophyta, Magnoliopsida, Fabales, Fabaceae.